GUAACACCCUGAACCAGGGUUAGGGUAGCUUAAGUAAUUUUUACCAGUUAUGAAGCAUCUUCAUGAUUUUAACCUAGUUUAUUAUGAGCAUCUGAAUGCACAUGAAAGGUGAGGGAAUAUCAAAAUUUUAUGAUGUAAAUUGGAUGGAAACUUUCCAGGAAGUUUGAUUCAAAAUCAUUUCAAAAAUGUCGGGAUUUCAGCUGUUACAGAAAAUUUUACGGUUCCACAGAUUGAGAGUGCAAUAACUCUGGAUAUAGUCCAUGAAUCUAAGUAAAAUUUUAAACACCUAAUAUACAUUGAGUAGGGUAUUUACUGUUGAAAUUUCAGCUCAAAUGGAUUAGCCUACAGCCUGGAACAAAGCAAGUUAGGUGAGUCCCUCGGAAGCCUGUCAUUACAGAAAACUGCAGACCUAGAUUUGUCCAAAAUUUCUAUAAAAAGUAGGAAGCAUGACGUGGCCUAAAACCUAGUUUUUAAAACCCCUGGGAACCACUCUUUUGACACGUUAGGUGUCUGGGAAGCUAACGUGUCAAAAGGGGGGGUGUCUAGCAUGUUUCAGCAGGCAGCAACUUGUGCUGCUGCUGUUCAACCGUUAGGAGUUCAGUGGUUGGUUGUAGGUGCCAGCCCAAAUCAGGCCAGGAAAAGCUCCAGGGAGGGAGAGAGGAAGCUAGGGAAGAGAGAGAGCUACUUGGGGAAUCCAAAUAAUUUGUGGAAGAAGGUUUAAAGUAAAGAGGAAGAGCAACUUGCUGUUGGGCUGCAGAACAGAAAUACAGAAAUUUUUGGUGCACCCAGGCUUCCUAGCAAAUUUCAGGAGGAGAAGAGAGUCCCGGAAGUGUGCCGGGAGUAUCAAGCACUAGGGUGGUGCGUUAGCCAUCACAAGAUCGGCAGAGUCAUAACAUUAUAAAAGUACCGCAUCAGCAUCAUCCUAGAAGUUUGUCAUAGAAGGUUGGCCAUGCCCCUCUGAGUGAAAGGAAAAAACCUUUGUAUUAUGCAUAUAGUUGGGGUGUGAAUGUAAACUAACUUGAGACAGAUGUAAAGUUUGUUAUAUUUUGAGCUAUGUAUAGUAGACUUUAAGUUAUCAAUGAAAGCUUGGGUUGCUUUUAGUUA
Phoenix dactylifera (date palm) is the source of this 1104-nucleotide non-coding RNA. NCBI's taxonomy places the organism in Eukaryota, Viridiplantae, Streptophyta, Magnoliopsida, Arecales, Arecaceae. The record is from RefSeq and is a predicted model, not a curated record.